This 251-nucleotide ribosomal RNA is filed under the name uncultured Prevotella sp. RNAcentral's name for it is "partial 16S ribosomal RNA". It matches the Rfam family "Bacterial small subunit ribosomal RNA", at positions 88 to 339 of the family's 1533-position model. Lineage: Bacteria; Pseudomonadati; Bacteroidota; Bacteroidia; Bacteroidales; Prevotellaceae. The record is from RNAcentral.
GCGUCGACCGGCGCACGGGUGAGUAACGCGUAUCCAACCUGCCCACCACUUGGGGAUAACCUUGCGAAAGUAAGACUAAUACCCAAUGAUAUCUCUAGAAGACAUCUGAAAGAGAUUAAAGAUUUAUCGGUGAUGGAUGGGGAUGCGUCUGAUUAGCUUGUUGGCGGGGUAACGGCCCACCAAGGCAACGAUCAGUAGGGGUUCUGAGAGGAAGGUCCCCCACAUUGGAACUGAGACACGGUCCAAACUCC